CCACAAGUGAUGGAAAAUUCACUAUUUGGAAAAGAAUGACGACAAUAAAGGAGCCACUAAUGUGC
This is a small nucleolar RNA of Jaculus jaculus (lesser Egyptian jerboa), 65 nucleotides long. RefSeq annotates it as small nucleolar RNA SNORD42. NCBI's taxonomy places the organism in Eukaryota, Metazoa, Chordata, Mammalia, Rodentia, Dipodidae. The record is from RefSeq and is a predicted model, not a curated record. The transcript has a single exon.